This 220-nucleotide long non-coding RNA is filed under the name Prunus persica (peach). Its description in RNAcentral is "long non-coding RNA (PPER_LNC003373)". The record is from RNAcentral. Lineage: Eukaryota; Viridiplantae; Streptophyta; Magnoliopsida; Rosales; Rosaceae.
UCAAUUGGUGUCUUUUGACUGAAAUCCAAUCUCUACAACUAUGCAAUACCUCAACUACUCCAUUUCAUAACGAACUUCGUACGAACCUGAAUUGUCCAAUUUCAUGCAACAAUCGAUAUCGGAUUGAGUCCAAAACUUGGGGAACAUCAUAAUAUGAUGGGAGAAGUCAUUUGGCGUCUUUUGACUGAAAUCCAAUGGCUAAAACUAUGCAAUACACCAA